UUGCUUCAGCAGCAGACAUCCUCAAAUAGGAACCAUGCAGAAAAGACUAAUGGCUCCUGCACGAGGGUAACACACACAUCUGUGAACUGUUUUCUACUUUU
Molecule: small nuclear RNA, 101 nt
Organism: Callithrix jacchus (white-tufted-ear marmoset)
Lineage: Eukaryota; Metazoa; Chordata; Mammalia; Primates; Cebidae
Source: Ensembl